This 602-nucleotide ribosomal RNA is filed under the name Streptomyces matensis. Its description in RNAcentral is "bacterial SSU rRNA". It matches the Rfam family "Bacterial small subunit ribosomal RNA", at positions 75 to 692 of the family's 1533-position model. The record is from RNAcentral. Lineage: Bacteria; Bacillati; Actinomycetota; Actinomycetes; Kitasatosporales; Streptomycetaceae.
CCACUUCGGUGGGGAUUAGUGGCGAACGGGUGAGUAACACGUGGGCAAUCUGCCCUGCACUCUGGGACAAGCCCUGGAAACGGGGUCUAAUACCGGAUACUGACCCGCUUGGGCAUCUUGGCUGUUCGAAAGCUCCGGCGGUGCAGGAUGAGCCCGCGGCCUAUCAGCUAGUUGGUGAGGUAAUGGCUCACCAAGGCGACGACGGGUAGCCGGCCUGAGAGGGCGACCGGCCACACUGGGACUGAGACACGGCCCAGACUCCUACGGGAGGCAGCAGUGGGGAAUAUUGCACAAUGGGCGAAAGCCUGAUGCAGCGACGCCGCGUGAGGGAUGACGGCCUUCGGGUUGUAAACCUCUUUCAGCAGGGAAGAAGCGAAAGUGACGGUACCUGCAGAAGAAGCGCCGGCUAACUACGUGCCAGCAGCCGCGGUAAUACGUAGGGCGCGAGCGUUGUCCGGAAUUAUUGGGCGUAAAGAGCUCGUAGGCGGCUUGUCACGUCGGUUGUGAAAGCCCGGGGCUUAACCCCGGGUCUGCAGUCGAUACGGGCAGGCUAGAGUUCGGUAGGGGAGAUCGGAAUUCCUGGUGUAGCGGUGAAAUGCGCA